GACCACGUCCUGCUUUUUACUCUUCCAGGAUAUUAGAUUCCCUCUAAUCAUGAUACAAUAUCCUGAAUUAUAUCGCCUAUUUGCAGGAAAACCUGCCCAAUCCGCAUCAGAUUACCCAACAACUUGUGAAAGGCCUUUAUCUUUAUACAAUAAAACUUGUCCAGGAGAUCCUUUUGAUACACCAGAGAAUGCAAAUUACAGCAUUCUAAUAAUCACUACAUGGAGCCUGGAGCCAGGAUCUUCUAA
This 246-nucleotide unclassified non-coding RNA is filed under the name Hevea brasiliensis (rubber tree). The record is from RNAcentral. Lineage: Eukaryota; Viridiplantae; Streptophyta; Magnoliopsida; Malpighiales; Euphorbiaceae.